CAGUCGCCGCGGAAUACAGAGGGUGCGAGCGUUAAUCGGAUUUACUGGGCGUAAAGCGUGCGUAGGCGGCUUCUUAAGUCGGAUGUGAAAUCCCUGAGCUUAACUUAGGAAUUGCAUUCGAUACUGGGAAGCUAGAGUAUGGGAGAGGAUGGUAGAAUUCCAGGUGUAGCGGUGAAAUGCGUAGAGAUCUGGAGGAAUACCGAUGGCGAAGGCAGCCAUCUGGCCUAAUACUGACGCUGAGGUACGAAAGCAUGGGGAGCAAACAGGAUUAGAUACCCGCGUAGUCCCUGUCUCUUAUACA
RNAcentral lists this ribosomal RNA (301 nucleotides) under uncultured bacterium. RNAcentral describes it as "partial 16S ribosomal RNA". It matches the Rfam family "Bacterial small subunit ribosomal RNA", at positions 509 to 808 of the family's 1533-position model. The record is from RNAcentral.